CGAGGAGUGGCUCGCGGCGACCGGGCUCGACGCCGACGCGGUCGUCGACGUCGAGGGCGUCGGGGCGGUGCCGUUCGGCACGGCUCUGCGCGAC
Molecule: transfer RNA, 94 nt
Filed under: Cellulomonas biazotea
Lineage: Bacteria; Bacillati; Actinomycetota; Actinomycetes; Micrococcales; Cellulomonadaceae
Description: tRNA-Val
Source: RNAcentral